AAUCUUCCAACACAUUGUAGGCGUAAUAUUUCUUUUAUUUUCUUUAUGGAAUCAAUUGUUUCAUCCAAGUACAUGCCCGUACCAUUACACCGGAACGGAACAACAUUACACUGCAACGAAACGCCCGUUGCUGUUGACAUUAGCCUCCCAGAAACGAGUGUAGUACAAUAGUAGCCUAUUCACCGUGGUGGCCAAAUGCUCUUGUUUGCUAGGCAAAACUCGUCUGUGCAUUACCAAACCUUGAUCAUAUCAGACCGGGAAAGACGACGUGUUUGUAGCCUAUUCAUUUAGAGAAGAGGAGAAGAGGAGAAUUCACAAUAAAUCCCUCUCACAGCCACCGGAGGGCGAGCAUUCAAAGUGAGCACGGGUGAAGAGGAUAACUAUACAAAUCAUUGGAAAUCUCCUUGGAUAAAUUCAUUUGAUCGCCUAUUCCCUAUGGGCAAAAUGCUAUUGAUUUUUUAAACCAAUCUCUUCUUGGCUUUUCUAUAGCAAUCGGGUGAAUACGAUUUACAUUGCGUUAGGAACCUUUGAUUCCGGAUAUCAUGUUGACAAUGGGACACGGUUAACUGUAAAACAGGAUGUUUUUCUCCGUCGUUCAGGUAAGCUUUCGUUCAAUACACCUGCUUAAAACACCUGUUUAGUGUAUCCUAUUAUAACCCAGCGAAAGAGGGAGACUUGUGGUAUGUAGUUGAUUCAUUAUUUCAUUCGUUUACCUAUCGUUUGCGCCGCUAACAAGCUAGCGCGAGUAGCUUGCUAUUUAGCCAGCUACUAUAGGUUACCUAUGGCUGUAGCUAACCCGUUAGCAAGUAGGCCGCGCUAGCCAGCUGGCUACUAAAGACGUGAGUGCUACUUGUUUUAUUUUCUCAAGUAUGUAUACAUUAAUUCCAUCAAAAUGGGACAACAUCUCUGGUGGUGGUAAUAAUAGAUGGUAGAAUAAAUCCCGUUAGUAAGUAGCUUGCUAUUUAGCCAGCUCCUAUAGGUUACCUAUGGCUUUCGCUAACCCGUUAGCAAGUAGGCCGCGCUAGCCAGCUGGCUACUAAAGACGUGAGUGCUACUUGUUUUAUUUUCUCAAGUAUGUAUACAUUAAUUCCAUCAAAAUGGGACAACAUCUCUGAUGGUGGUAAUAAUAGAUGGUAGAAUAAAUCCCGUUAGUAAGUAGCUUGCUAUUUAGCCAGCUCCUAUAGGUUACCUAUGGCUUUCGCUAACCCGUUAGCAAGUAGGCCGCGCUAGCCAGCUGGCUACUAAAGACGUGAGUGCUACUUGUUUUAUUUUCUCAAGUAUGUAUACAUUAAUUCCAUCAAAAUGGGACAACAUCUCUGAUGGUGGUAAUAAUAGAUGGUAGAAUAAAUCCCGUUAGUAAGUAGCUUGCUAUUUAGCCAGCUCCUAUAGGUUACCUAUGGCUUUCGCUAACCCGUUAGCAAGUAGGCCGCGCUAGCCAGCUGGCUACUAAAGAC
Molecule: long non-coding RNA, 1454 nt
Organism: Esox lucius (northern pike)
Lineage: Eukaryota; Metazoa; Chordata; Actinopteri; Esociformes; Esocidae
Exons: 3
Source: RefSeq, a predicted model, not a curated record